Molecule: ribosomal RNA, 468 nt
Filed under: uncultured bacterium
Lineage: Bacteria
Description: partial 16S ribosomal RNA
Rfam family: Bacterial small subunit ribosomal RNA
Source: RNAcentral
GACGAACGCUGGCGGCAUGCUUAACACAUGCAAGUCGAACGGAAAGGCCCUGCUUUUGUGGGGUGCUCGAGUGGCGAACGGGUGAGUAACACGUGAGUAACCUGCCCUUGACUUUGGGAUAACUUCAGGAAACUGGGGCUAAUACCGGAUAGGAGCUCCUGCUGCAUGGUGGGGGUUGGAAAGUUUCGGCGGUUGGGGAUGGACUCGCGGCUUAUCAGCUUGUUGGUGGGGUAGUGGCUUACCAAGGCUUUGACGGGUAGCCGGCCUGAGAGGGUGACCGGCCACAUUGGGACUGAGAUACGGCCCAGAGGCGUACGGGAAGCAGCAGUGGGAAAUAUUGCACAAUGGGCGGAAGCCUGAUGCAGCAGCCCCGCGGGCGGGAUGACGGCCUUCGGGUUGUCAACCGCUUUCGCCUGUGACGAAGCGUGCGUGACGGUAAUGGGUAAAGAAGCACCGGCUAACUACGUG